ACGUUAGUUGCUAACGCGUGAAGGCGAGCACUCUAGACGAACUGCCGUUGACAAAACGGAGGAAGUGGGGAUGACGUCAAAUCAUCAUGCCCCUUAUGUUCUGGGCUACACACGUGCUACAAUGGCCGGUACAGACGGACGCAAAGCCGCGAGGUGGAGCAAAUCCUAAAAAGCCGGUCUCAGUUCGGAUUGCAGGCUGCAAUUCGCCUGCAUGAAGUCGGAAUCGCUAGUAAUCGCAGGUCAGCAUACUGCGGUCGAAUACGUUCCGGCCUU
RNAcentral lists this ribosomal RNA (273 nucleotides) under uncultured Bacillus sp. RNAcentral describes it as "partial 16S ribosomal RNA". It matches the Rfam family "Bacterial small subunit ribosomal RNA", at positions 1107 to 1374 of the family's 1533-position model. Lineage: Bacteria; Bacillati; Bacillota; Bacilli; Caryophanales; Bacillaceae. The record is from RNAcentral.